GUGGGUUGAACGGGACCUCUGAUAACAGCAUGUGCAAACCCCGUAAAUAAACUGUUAAGCCCCAGUGUUAGAAGUAAGACUAUAAGUUCUCCUUGGUGAUGAGGAAAUAAUGUUUCUUGACAUGGGUGCUGGUUGUUGUAUAAGUGGGUUCAUUUUGUAAAAACUCAUUAAGUCAUGCCAUUAUAAACAAUGUGCUUUUCAAUGUUUGUGUUGUAUAGCGUCAGGGGUCAGGUUGCCAGGGAGCAGACAGAUGGCCAGCUGCACACAUGUUUGUUGGAACAGGUGCUCCUGAGAGUACUCUGCAGAGAGGAGGAAGCCUUGGAUGGACCGAGAGGGCAAGUGAGCUAUAUGAUAAAGACCUCAGACCAUCGCCGCAGGAGCAAUUCAGUGCCGGUGAUGAAAUCCAGGGCUCCAGGGUUAUGCUUUUUACUGAACCUCAGUCCCUCUGGCAGCUUCUAUACUGUGACCACCCUUGUUUCCUCGGUUCCUAACACGUGAUGAACAGACCGCCCAGCUUGCCCAGCCAACCCCAGCUUAAUCAGUAACAUUUCCCUCCUCCAUUCUCAGAAAUGUCCCAGGUGGAUGACAAAUCAUUGGUUGGUUAUGUAUAUUGCAACGUAACUAAUAAAAACAAUAAAAUCUUUCUCCUUUUU
This is a long non-coding RNA of Peromyscus leucopus (white-footed mouse), 653 nucleotides long. RefSeq lists it as uncharacterized. NCBI's taxonomy places the organism in Eukaryota, Metazoa, Chordata, Mammalia, Rodentia, Cricetidae. The record is from RefSeq and is a predicted model, not a curated record. The transcript is spliced from 2 exons.